CCCUUAGAUGUUCUGGGCAGCACGCGCGCUACAAUGGUCUUCGCAAACGGAUGCAUUCUCGAAGGAGAAUGCCAAUCUUGGAAUCUAUGCCUUGGUCGGGACAGUUGCUUGCAAUUUUUCGACUCGAACCAGGAAUUCCUUGUAAUCGUGAUUCAUCACAUCACGAUGAAUACGUCCCUGCCCUUUGUACACACCGCCCGUCGCUCCUACCGAUCGAAGAGUUAGGUGAAUUGUUUUGAUCGAUAAGAUUUGACUAUGGUCAACUCUCGUUGUGAACUUCUGUGAAUCUGACUGUUUAGAGGAAGGAAAAGUCGUAACA
RNAcentral lists this ribosomal RNA (319 nucleotides) under uncultured eukaryote. RNAcentral's name for it is "partial 18S ribosomal RNA". It matches the Rfam family "Eukaryotic small subunit ribosomal RNA", at positions 1470 to 1796 of the family's 1831-position model. The record is from RNAcentral.